RNAcentral lists this ribosomal RNA (251 nucleotides) under uncultured prokaryote. Its description in RNAcentral is "partial 16S rRNA". It matches the Rfam family "Bacterial small subunit ribosomal RNA", at positions 525 to 775 of the family's 1533-position model. The record is from RNAcentral.
ACGGAGGAUGCGAGCGUUAUCCGGAUUUAUUGGGUUUAAAGGGUGCGUAGGCGGAAUAAUAAGUCAGUGGUGAAACCCUGCAGCUUAACUGUAGACUUGCCAUUGAUACUGUUUUUCUUGAGUAUGGUCAAGGCAGGCGGAAUGUGUAAUGUAGCGGUGAAAUGCUUAGAUAUUACACAGAACACCGAUAGCGAAGGCAGCUUGCUGGGCCGUUACUGACGCUGAUGCACGAAAGCGUGGGGAUCGAACAG